RNAcentral lists this transfer RNA (87 nucleotides) under Candidatus Liptonbacteria bacterium. RNAcentral describes it as "tRNA-Ser". It matches the Rfam family "tRNA". Rfam says of the family: Transfer RNA (tRNA) molecules are approximately 80 nucleotides in length. Their secondary structure includes four short double-helical elements and three loops (D, anti-codon, and T loops). The record is from RNAcentral. Lineage: Bacteria; Candidatus Liptoniibacteriota.
GGAAGCGUGCGUGAGUGGUUUAAACGGACGGUCUUGAAAACCGUUAUGCCAGCAAUGGCAUCGGAGGUUCGAAUCCUCCCGCUUCCG